AUGCUUAGGAAAAUGUUCCAAGGUGGUUCUUCAAGGAAGCAAGGACCCAGGCUUGCAAUGCGUGAUGCUGACGAUGAGCCACCAAGGGACGCUCUAGUGCGGCCUUGUGAAUGGCCUUCAGAGAACUUUAUGGAUCGAGCGGGAAUCAAGGAAGAAUUUAACGCAUAUUUGCGUAACGCUGAUCUUGUGAGCUUCAAGGCAGAGAAGUGCAGCCAAUACCACUAUCUCACUAGUUCCUUUGUGAGGAGGUUUGAAUUUUCAUCUUCACGUAAUUCUCCAACGGUCCUGUUUGAUCUUUAUGAAAAAUCUUAUACCAUGGACUUAGAGGAUUUUACUACUGCUUGCAAACUUCCACAAUGGGGUAGUGCUAGUGAACCCCGCAAAUCUGAAUUUAGAAAUUUUCUUGCUAGUAUAACUGUGGGGGAAUCUAGAGAUAUAGCACAAGCUACCAUAGGGAACAUUCAUUUUCCUGCUAUACAUUAUUUUGCUCUCUUCAUAGGUAGGUGCAUAAAUGGUAAAGAUGAAGCAUGUCAUAUGUGUGUCCCUGACCUUAGUAUUCUUAGGAGUGCCGUGUUGGGAGACAAAUCUUAUAAUUUGGGAGCCAUUGUUGCAUGUAGGUUGCAUCAUAAUAGAUUUAAUGGAGAUUUCUUUGGAGGAAUUUAUGCAACCCGCUUAGCUGAUUUUCUUGGUGUGGACGUUCGUGAGGAUGAUAUUGAGUUGCCUCCUACUUAUUUAGACUAUAAUGCUAUGGUCCACCACUAG
This 762-nucleotide ribosomal RNA is filed under the name Triticum aestivum (bread wheat). RNAcentral describes it as "partial small subunit ribosomal RNA". The record is from RNAcentral. Lineage: Eukaryota; Viridiplantae; Streptophyta; Magnoliopsida; Poales; Poaceae.